Non-coding RNA from Myodes glareolus (Bank vole), 539 nucleotides. NCBI's taxonomy places the organism in Eukaryota, Metazoa, Chordata, Mammalia, Rodentia, Cricetidae. The record is from RefSeq and is a predicted model, not a curated record.
GGGUCUCCUAAAAACAAAUCAUUUUCUGUUUUGGUCCAUUUUCUGUCUCUGUAACAGACACCUGUGACCGGGUUGGGACCACUCCGAAGUUACUGGUGGCUGCUAUUACUGUGGGAUUCGGCACACCCAGGCCAGCAGAUACCUUGUAUGGGGACCAUUAAAGCAGCUUAGCAUGUCCUGGGUUCGUGCUAUUCAGCUCCUGUACUUCAGAUGAUGGGUCUGGAGAAGCUGAAAACAACCAAACUAAAACCAAGUCCUUGGAUUUGGUGAACCUUAAUCCUGACUCAAAGAAAUUCUUUUGAGGUUUCCAGACCAAGCAAAUGAACAAAGUCACAAGGCGAUGUGAAUCCGGGAAAGAAGAGAAAUCUGUUUCCUCCACAGGAAGAAGUGACCUCUCUUUCCAUUUGCUGCCUGCAAUCCCUGGGCCAUGGACAACUACACACACCUUUCUCUGUUGUACUGCACCGUUGCGUGUCCCUGCUAUGUUAGUUUAUCACAUAAUAUAGAGCCACAGGAUUAAAACAUCCUUGUGCUGUUGA